Clupea harengus (Atlantic herring) is the source of this 386-nucleotide long non-coding RNA. The record is from Ensembl. NCBI's taxonomy places the organism in Eukaryota, Metazoa, Chordata, Actinopteri, Clupeiformes, Clupeidae.
CAAAUUUGUGACUUACUCACAGCCUGAAUAUCAAAUAUAACACAGCUAUGAUGCAAUAUCCUGCUGUCAUGAGCUCGCAGAGGAAGUGUAACAGAAGACAAGACAACAACCUGAGGCACAUUUUUACGUCUAGCUGAAUACUGGUAUUUGCAAAUUAAAUAAAAAAAAUAGUGAGGCUGAAUAAGGACAUUAACCCACACCUAACUGAUCCUACCAGUACCAGGUGUUUAAGUUUUCACAACAGCGAUUAAACGAUCAAAGCCUCAAGGUCUUUUUUGUUUGAUUAGUGGCCAUGAAUAUAUUCCAUGCUGAAAGUAAUCAAGUUUUUCUGUCUGAUAACGGCCUCCCACAUAUCAAAGCUACACUAUAAUCAGUGGAUCUGGCAG